Molecule: non-coding RNA, 164 nt
Filed under: Balaenoptera musculus (blue whale)
Lineage: Eukaryota; Metazoa; Chordata; Mammalia; Artiodactyla; Balaenopteridae
Also listed under: 1 other name
Description: Eukaryotic small subunit ribosomal RNA
Rfam family: Eukaryotic small subunit ribosomal RNA
Source: Rfam by way of RNAcentral
CACCGCCCGUCGCUACUACCGAUUGGAUGGUUUAGUGAGGCCCUCGGAUCGGCCCCGCCGGGGUCGGCCCACGGCCCUGGCGGAGCGCUGAGAAGACGGUCGAACUUGACUAUCUAGAGGAAGUAAAAGUCGUAACAAGGUUUCCGUAGGUGAACCUGCGGAAG